RNAcentral lists this ribosomal RNA (492 nucleotides) under uncultured bacterium. RNAcentral's name for it is "partial 16S ribosomal RNA". It matches the Rfam family "Bacterial small subunit ribosomal RNA", at positions 29 to 507 of the family's 1533-position model. The record is from RNAcentral.
AGUGAACGCUGGCGGUAGGCCUAACACAUGCAAGUCGAACGGCAGCACAGUAAGAGCUUGCUCUUACGGGUGGCGAGUGGCGGACGGGUGAGGAAUACAUCGGAAUCUACUUUUUCGUGGGGGAUAACGUAGGGAAACUUACGCUAAUACCGCAUACGACCUACGGGUGGAAGCAGGGGAUCUUCGGACCUUGCGCGAUUGAAUGAGCCGAUGUCGGAUUAGCUAGUUGGCGGGGUAAAGGCCCACCAAGGCGACGAUCCGUAGCUGGUCUGAGAGGAUGGUCAGCCACACUGGAACUGAGACACGGUCCAGACUCCUACGGGAGGCAGCAGUGGGGAAUAUUGGACAAUGGGCGCAAGCCUGAUCCAGCCAUACCGCGUGGGUGAAGAAGGCCUUCGGGUUGUAAAGCCCUUUUGUUGGGAAAGAAAAGCAGCAGGUUAAUACCCCGCUGUUCUGACGGUACCCAAAGAAUAAGCACCGGCUAACUUCGUG